Molecule: ribosomal RNA, 476 nt
Filed under: uncultured bacterium
Lineage: Bacteria
Description: bacterial SSU rRNA
Rfam family: Bacterial small subunit ribosomal RNA
Source: RNAcentral
CUACGUGCCAGCAGCCGCGGUAAUACGGAAGGUCCAGGCGUUAUCCGGAUUUAUUGGGUUUAAAGGGAGCGUAGGCGGAUUGUUAAGUCAGCGGUUAAAGGGUGUGGCUCAACCAUGCAUUGCCGUUGAAACUGGCGAUCUUGAGUGCAGACAGGGAUGCCGGAAUUCGUGGUGUAGCGGUGAAAUGCUUAGAUAUCACGAAGAACUCCGAUCGCGAAGGCAGGUGUCCGGGCUGCAACUGACGCUGAGGCUCGAAAGUGUGGGUAUCAAACAGGAUUAGAUACCCUGGUAGUCCACACAGUAAACGAUGGAUGCCCGCUGUUGGUACCUGGUAUCAGCGGCUAAGCGAAAGCAUUAAGCAUCCCACCUGGGGAGUACGCCGGCAACGGUGAAACUCAAAGGAAUUGACGGGGGCCCGCACAAGCGGAGGAACAUGUGGUUUAAUUCGAUGAUACGCGAGGAACCUUACCCGGGAU